ACAUACGACCAUAGCUGCCAGCAGAGCUCAGAAACCCGUCCGAUCUUCCAGGAGAAUCUGGCAAGCGCUGGAUUAGUAGUUGGGUCGGUGACGACCAGCGAAUACCUAGUGUUGUAUGUC
Molecule: ribosomal RNA, 120 nt
Organism: Metarhizium album ARSEF 1941
Lineage: Eukaryota; Fungi; Ascomycota; Sordariomycetes; Hypocreales; Clavicipitaceae
Source: Rfam